Molecule: long non-coding RNA, 4072 nt
Filed under: Sus scrofa (pig)
Lineage: Eukaryota; Metazoa; Chordata; Mammalia; Artiodactyla; Suidae
Description: lncRNA (ENSSSCG00000053731.1, ENSSSCG00110029608.1)
Source: RNAcentral
AUAUAUCUUACAGUCAGUCACAUCUUAAUUCUAUGAAAUACUGUAUGAUGAAAAUCAAUGCAAAGACAUAAUUCUUUUACAUCUUCAUAAUUUUAUCUAUAUUACAAUUAGUACUUUGGUACAUAUCUUAAAAACUUUUUCUCCUUGAUCAGGUUUCUCCUGUUGGUAGUCCACAGCCUAGCUGCUGUUUUGUUCAGCAGGCCCUUUGAAGAUAGAGCCAUGGGUGUAUUUAAUGAAGAGAGCCAUAUACUCAUGGAGGCAAUGAGCUGUUAUUGAGCUGUUGAAGUGUUCUUACCAUUUCUUUGUUUACUUUUUCAAGAGAAACACAUUUUUUAAAAAACUUAGGCACUCGGUCUGGAAAAAGUAGGGCUAAAUCAUGAAGGUCAUGUGUUGGAUGGAUUUAUUCACCAAAUCCAGAGUUAGGUUACUUCUUCAUGAAGCAGAUAUAUAUAACUUUGAAGGAAAAUAAAAGCAUAAUGGUAAUUGUGAACAUGGAACUAUCGGAUGUUUAGGCUUAGAUGGUAGGGAUGAGAAAGGAAUUAAUUGAUAAAGGAAUAUCAGUGAAUAUAAGUUACUGGAUUUAAAAACUUAAAGAUAGCAGCUAUACACUCUUAUAAAACAUAUUUUGGUGACAUUUACCUAAGAGACAAAGAACUGAACUUGAUUAUUACUCUAAUUCAGUAUGGUAUUUCUUAUUACAUAUAUUCAAGGAUGAAGCAAGCAGCUUGAAGGUAAGCAGAUCAGUGUUCAGAUUUUUAACUGGUAAAAUGAGAGUUUAGAACAGAAGGAAAGACAACCAGUGAAGAUAUUUCCAGUCUAUGGUCUAUAAUGCUUUAUUCCUUGCAAGCUUUGGGUGCUAUAAGAGUUAAAAGUUCAAGCUGAAAAAUCUAGCAAAAAACACUCUGAAAAGCUAUACUUUUUUAUGUCAUUGCUCUUUGGUGCUAAGAGGUUCUCAAGAAGGUGAGUAUCUUAUGUACCAUUUGUGCUGUAAUAUUUAAUUACAGUGAGUGUACAGAAGAUUAGCUGUCUCAAAGAUCCUUUUGAAAUUAGAUUGCACAUCAAAACUGCAUUGUGCCCUGCUAAGUAAGCAAAUUUAAGAAAGAGGAGAAGGUGAUGUCAAGACUUAUUGCAAAAUGAACAAAUAAAGGAAUAGGAUUUGCUUGGUGUUCAGCCUAUUAAAGCAUGGCCAAAUGUCAGCCUUCAUUUGUCAACUUAAAUAUGUUUUUCUAAAAUUGGAAGAAAGUAUCCCUUAGCUAGUAUUUGAACUUGAGAAAUAAAUUAAGCAACACAAAAUGCUGAAUAGAUUAUAUUAAUAACUCAAUUUCUCAUAGUGACUAAUUACCACACAACUAUAUACAUUAGUAAUUCAGUUACAAAUACUUGUCUUUUUUGUUAUUUUUCUGAUUAUAAUAUUAAUACGUGUGUUUUUGCUCCCUGAUACAUGAGGUUUUAGACUCUCAGAAGUUAACUUCUUAUCUGCAAGAGCUAGACCCCCUCCCCCAACAAACCAUACACUGAAGUAUUUCAGGUCUCCAGGGAUUUCUCUCAUCAAAAAAAGAAGUAAAAGUAAAAUUUUUUAAAUCCAAGAGCUAAACCCUAUGUAACCAGGAAGGCUAAGGUAGCUUGGAGCCUGAAUUGGACUUGGUGGAAAUAACCAGGAACAUAGAUGAGGAUCUCGGUCCAGAGUAAGAAAGUUCGUAAGUGCUUGAAACCAGAGUGAUAGAGAACCUGAAAUCUGCUUUGUGGCAGAGUGGGAUUUCCCUGAGGCCAGAAUUCUAUAUACUGACAGUGUGUGAGUAUAUUCAGCCUUCAGAAUGAUGAGGUGGAGAAUAUUCCUCUAAGCUAAAACCCUCAAGGAGGUCCUGACACGUCCUGAGACAAGUGUACACACAAAGAGAGACACAUGCGUAUGACUGCCUGAAACAGAAGAAACCAUCCCAGGAGACUCUCAGAUUAUAAUCAAGUUUAAGCUCUUAAACAAAGACUACCAAGUCCACUCUUAGUGAGAAUCAGCAGAGACAAUAAAUUUAGACCACAAAGAAUGCAGUGGUUGGAACUAAAGACAGAAUGCAUUAAAGCUAUGUAUGAAACAAUGAAAUUACAAAAAUGAAUUUUUUAAAAACUAUAGGUUGGGAAUUUGGCAUUAAUAGAUGCAAACUAUUGCCUUUGGAAUGGAUAAGCAAUGAGAUCCUGCUGUAUAGCACUGGGAACUAUAUCUAGUCAUUUAUGAUGGAGAAUGAUAAUGUGAGAAAAAAGAAUGUAUACAUAUAUGUGUAACUGGGUCACUUUGCUGUACAGUAGAAAAUUGAUGGAACAUGGUAAACCAGCUAUAAUGGAAAAAAUAAUUAUUAUAAAAUAAAAAACUAUGUUGUGACUGAGUAACAGUAUUAGACUUACUGUUCUAUCUUAAACUAUAGCACUGUACUCUUCAGAGACUUGAUCCUUGAGAGAAAGGAUACUCAUGUAGUGGCCUCUACAUUCACUCUAGCUUGCUGCCUAGAAGUCUUUUACAAAUUGCAGCAGAAGGAAAAUAAGCCCAAACAUAAAACAGAUGUUUUGUGGAAUGCAAGAAAUGAGGAAACAGCUACUGGAGGUCACACAGGGCUGUGAGAUGUUGGUGUUCAAAUCAGCCAGAGUUUAAAGGCUUCACUGAACAAUCCAAGAAUUAAAUUAGGGACAUACCUCAGGAAUAAGACUACUCUAGAGUAGACUCUGGACCAUGAUGAAACCAAAAACUCAUCCUUAAUAGGAGCAAGCUGAUCUGCCAGCAUAGUAACUACCACCCAAACAAGAUUCAGUACUUCCUAAAGGAAAAUAACAAGAUCCCUAUUUUCAGUAAUGUAAUAUCCACAACGUCCAUUAUAAAGUAGACAAAUAUUAUAUAUGCUAAGCAAGAAAAUGUGACCUUAGAGGAAAAAGGAAUCCAUAGAAACAAGGGUUUCAGUUAGUAAGUACAAACUUUCAAAGCUCUUUUAAAUAUGUUAAAAUAUUUAAAGGUAAAGACAUAAUGAGAGAAGAAAUGGGAAUUAGAUAUAGAAAAAUUAAAACUAAAAAAUAACAAAUGCAAAGAUUGGAAAAUACAAUAUUUAAAAUUUAAAAAUAUAUAUAUAUAUGGACUUAAUAGAAGAUUGGGGACAGAGUAAGAAAGGAUCAGUAAACUUGAAAGCAGAGAAGUGCAGACUAGCCAAACUGAGGCACAAAAACAAAAAGUUACUGGGGUAAAAGAUGGUAGUGCAUCAGUGACCACAUUAAGCAAUCUACCCUAAGUAUAACUAUAGAUCAGAAGGGGAAGGAGAAGGGUGGGAGUGGGGCAGACAAAUAUUCAAAGAGAUAGUGGCGAAAAUUUUUCCAAAUUUGAAGAAAUACAUAAACCAGAGUUUCAGCAAACCCUAGUAAACCUGUAUCUCAUUAUAUCCUAGCCAAAUUACUGAAAAGGCAAAGAAAAAAAUUUUUAAUCUUGAAAACAUCCAGAGACAAAAUUUUUAAUCUUGAAAACAUCCAAAAUACACAAUGUUAGUGAUAAUACCUGCUUAUCAGUAACAAUGGAGAAUAAAAGAGUGGUAUAAUAUCUUUAAAAUAUAGAAAGAAAAAAGGAAAUGCAACCUAGAUUAUUAUAAUCAGCAAAGUAGCCUUUGAAAAAUAACGGAAAUAAAGACACUUCCAUAUAAAAAUUGUCAAGGAGCAUGCAACCAACAGACCUUCAUGACAAGGAAAGUCCAAAGAAAUUCUUCAGCCUGUUGGGAAAUGAAACCAGCCAGAAAUUUUUAUCUAUUUAAAAUAAUGAAGUUUGCCACAAACGGUAAAUUCUUAGAAAAUACACAUUUUUUCCUUAAACACAUAAAAAGGUAAUCAACUGUCUAAAGCAGAAAUAAUAUAGUGUGGAGUUUAUCAUUAAAAUGUUUGAUAAUACCAUAAAGGACAGAAAGGGGUAAAUGGAAGUAUCCUGCUCUAAGAGUCUUACAUUAUAGUGCUUUGAUAUAAUAUUCACUCAAUCAAUGUGUAUUUUAUCUAUGGAACCAUAGAUGAAAUAAAGUGCAAUAAUAAAAGUAUAUUGACUAAUCCAAAAUAAGGC